GACGAACGCUGGCGGCGUGCCUAAUACAUGCAAGUCGAACGAAGCUGUUUUAACUGGUGCUUGCACCGACUUAAACAACUGAGUGGCGAACGGGUGAGUAACACGUGGGUAACCUGCCCCAAAGCGGGGGAUAACAUUUGGAAACAGAUGCUAAUACCGCAUAAUCACGGAAACCACAUGGUUUCUGUGUCAAAGAUGGUUUCGGCUAUCACUUUGGGAUGGACCCGCGGCGUAUUAGCUAGUUGGUAAGGUAAUGGCUUACCAAGGCAAUGAUACGUAGCCGAACUUAGAGGUCGGACGGCCACAUUGGGACUGAGACACGGCCCAAACUCCUACGGGAGGCAGCAGUAGGGAAUCUUCCACGAUGGACGAAAGUCUGAUGGAGCAGCGCCGCGUGAGUGAAGAAGGUUUUCGGCUCGUAAAACUCUGUUGUCAGAGAAGAACGUGUGCGAGAGUAACUGUUCGUGCAGUGACGGUAUCUGGCCAGAAAGCCACGGCUAACUACGUGCCAGCCGCCGCCGUAA
Molecule: ribosomal RNA, 524 nt
Filed under: uncultured bacterium
Lineage: Bacteria
Description: partial 16S ribosomal RNA
Rfam family: Bacterial small subunit ribosomal RNA
Source: RNAcentral